ACCCACCUGGGUUGAAAACCGGGGGGAUGACCUGUGGUUAGGGGUGAAAGGCCAAUCAAACUUCGUGAUAGCUGGUUCUCCCCGAAAUGCAUUUAGGUGCAGCCCCGGCAUAGGGCGCUGCGGAGGUAUCGCGCUGGAUCGACGAGGGGGCUACUCGCUUACCGACUCGAACCAAACGACGAAUGCCGCAGCGAUGGUGCCGGGCGUGAGACAGCGGGUGCGAAGAUUCGUUGUCGAGAGGGAAACAGCCCAGACCGCCAGCUAAGGUCCCCAACUACGGACUAAGUGGGCAAGGU
RNAcentral lists this ribosomal RNA (296 nucleotides) under Pycnococcus provasolii. RNAcentral describes it as "partial Bacterial large subunit ribosomal RNA". It matches the Rfam family "Bacterial large subunit ribosomal RNA", at positions 778 to 1073 of the family's 2925-position model. Lineage: Eukaryota; Viridiplantae; Chlorophyta; Pseudoscourfieldiophyceae; Pseudoscourfieldiales; Pycnococcaceae. The record is from RNAcentral.